RNAcentral lists this ribosomal RNA (458 nucleotides) under uncultured bacterium. RNAcentral's name for it is "partial 16S ribosomal RNA". It matches the Rfam family "Bacterial small subunit ribosomal RNA", at positions 338 to 795 of the family's 1533-position model. The record is from RNAcentral.
CCUACGGGUGACAGCAGUGAGGAAUAUUGGUCAAUGGCCGGAAGGCUGAACCAGCCAUGCCGCGUGAAGGUCAGUGCCCUAUGGGCGUUAAACUUCUUUUGUGCGGGAGCAAUAAUGGUCACGUGUGGCCAGACGAGAGUACCGUACGAAUAAGCAUCGGCUAACUCUGGGCCAGCAGCCGCGGUAAUACGGGGGAUGCAAGCGUUAUCCGGAUUUAUUGGGUUAAAAGGGUGGGUAGGCUGGGAGGUAAGUCAGCGGUAAAAUGUCCGGGCUAAACCCGGGCCGGCCUUUGAAACUGGGGAUCUUGAGUGGGCGAGAAGUAUGCGGAAUGCGUGGUGUAGCGGUGAAAUGCAUAGAUAUCACGCAGAACUCCGAUUGCGAAGGCAGCAUACCGGCGGCCGACUGACGCUGAGGCACGAAAGCGUGGGGAUCGAACAGGAUUAGAUACCCCUGUAGUC